GUCAUAGCUUUAAAAAAACUUAAAACUACUCCCAAGACUUUUGGGACACUCUACAUAUAAGCAAUUUCCAGUAAGAGUGAGAAGAGUCUCAUUCUAUUACAAUGGGACUAUGAGUAAGGAUGGAUUUUCUCUCUGUAGUGAGACCAGAAAAAAGAUGUAAACUCUUCAGUUUGGAAAAUAAGAUUUAAAAAUAAGGAUCCUUGUAAGCUAUAUGACAACAUUUUAGAAAGAAGGAGGAACAUUUCCCCAACAUUUUGGGAUUGUGAGAUUGGAGGACAGACCUAUUCUCUCUACUUCCUAGAUCAGCUGUUUGACUUUGGGGAGCCGCCCUUUCUUAUUUUCUUUCAUUUCCACCAACAAAUGGAAAUUAGCUCUAUGAUGAAGACAAAAGAAAUCUUAGAAAAGACUUGAUGUCUGUCUAAGAUGGAUUUAAUCUACUGAUUGUCUAUAUUUAUAAGAGGUGUAGGAUUUCCACAUUUUUGUAUUAUAAUUGAAUAACUCAAUAGUGAACAUUUUUAAAGAGAAAGGAAGUUUACCUUUCAUUUGGGUAAUUACCCCUUUUGCUUUUUAGGAUUUAUUUAUAAAAUAAGAAUUAAUAGAAUUUUUUCAUUAAUUUCAGAAUCUUAGUGUAAAUUUUAGAGAGCUACCAAAACAAGUCAAUAGGACCCUGGAAUUGAGUUCUUUAGAUAGGGGUGGUGGUAAGUGAAGGUAAUGGUAGCUUUGGGCUUUUAAUGCCACAUUGAAGGAUGCUAUUGUUUUGCUUGCCUUGAAUGUAAUUUAAUUGAGAAAAAGAAUAUUUAGUGCGGCUCCUUACCCUGGGUAAAAGCAAGUUCAAAAUUAGUUAGUGUUGGAAAAGAUUUUUAGUGAUAUUCAUUAUAAUUGUGAAAACUUGGUAUUCCUAUAGUAUUUUCAGCCAUUCAGGCCACUUGAAAAAUAGAAGUGUAGUAAUGGGAUGUGUGUGUAUGUGUUUUUAUCUGUCUAUGUGUUUGUUUUGGUAUAGGCCAAGAUUACCACAGAUCCCACUGCCUCUUUGAAAGAGGUAAAAUGAAAUCAUUAUUAUGAAAGUCAAGGGAACUUGAUGCCCUAUUUAAAGGAGGUGAAAGGACAGAAAAGAUGAUGGGAUCCAUUCUAGCUAAAACCUUUAAGGUUGCCAUGAGGCAGAUAGGAUUUUAAUCCAUGAUUUGCAGUCUCUACUUUCUGAAUCAGAAAGUAGGAUACAUUAGAUGUCAUGAUAUUAUUUUUUCCAGAAACCCUUGCGAUAAAAGCAUACUUUUAUAUUCUUAAAAUCAGGACUGUCCCAGAAAAUCUGGAGUGUAAGGCCUAAAACCUUAGCCAAGUACAGUCUAUUUAAAAGUCUCUUCAAUGAAGUGAGAAGUCAUGAAGAAGCUGAAAGUCAUUUUAACAGACAUCUACCUAUAAAUGUAAUCCAGGCAAGCUGGGUAAGAGAGAUUGACCUCAUGAAUACAAUUUAAAACUCUGCUCAAACCCAUUAAUGUUUUUAAAUACUUAAUGUUUUAUUUUGCACAAGAGGGUAUAAAGUCUUUUUUAAAAGUCAAACUUUAAAGCAGUUUAUAGAAACACAUUCCUAAGUGUAGUAGAAUCUAAUUAAAUGUAAUAUGCAAAUUCGUUUAAAUAAACUCUUGGUCUGAGUAGAAAAGAGAUAUGGGUUUCACUCUUCUGCUAAAUAUAGAUCAUUUGGGAUCAGAGAGAACCCUAGUUAUAGACAGUUCUCACUUCUCAGUGGAACGAUACAACUUUUUUUCCUUUUUUCUGUUUUUUUCAGGAUAUGAAAAGAGGAUCAGAUGCUAUGACAGUAGGGAAGUUAGAAAGACACUAUAGUCAUCCUUUGAUUAAAUGGAAGCAGGCAGAGAACUGAUGCUAUGAUAUCUUAGCUACCAGCUGCUAAUGAGAAAUGAACCUCAAGGGACUGACGUCAGAGAUCAGAAACAUCUGGCUUGCUUAUUCAUGACCUGUCAGAAAAACGUAUUGUUGGAGCUGAGAUGGUUUGGUAGAUGCAAGCUUGGAAACAAGGAGUUUCUCUGUUCAUGAACUCAAGAAAUUGUGAGUAAUUAAGAAGAUGAAGAAUGUAUGUGGUGUACUUUGGAGAUCUAUCUACAGAUAAUAUACUUCUUAAACUGAAGAUACCAAUCUGCAUUUCUCAGGGAGAAAUUGGGGGAAAUGGAGUUACCUUCCAGGAAAAUCUGCCAAAGAGAUGUGGGGAAAAAAUUCUGCAAAGAAGAAUUUUCGUUCACUGGAAUCCAGUUAGAAUCAACUGAGAGAAGAGAUGACAUACAACGAACAGGGACAGGUGAAUGCAGAGAAGCUCCUGGAAGGGUUACCUGGAUUUUUUCAAGGCUAUGAGUUACACAAUCAAGCAGAAGAUUCUUUGAAGCUACAAGAAGAGGUCAAAGCAGCAUGUUCACAAGGUGCUGAUUUUCUGAUCUUCUGCCUCUGUGUCCUCUUGAGAGUCAUUGGGCAGCUUUUCCUAAUCUCUAGACUGCUCCUGCCACCCCAUGUAAGUAAAAGCUUGAUCCAUAAAUCAAUCAGUGAAUAAAAGUUUCAAGAUUUUUGUUCCUGACUGAUCCCUAGGAAGAAGGAAAGGUGAUUAGUAUGCUUUAACCUCUGGUCUAUACUCUGGGUUCCCUUAAGACAUAAUAAAUAAGGAAAAAUGGGAAUUUCUAGCAAACUCUUGUGUGACUAGUUAUCAAAUUGUGCAUCAGAGGAAUCUCUAACAACAACAUCCGCUUAAAAAUUCAGGGUUCAUACUUUAGGUUUAGGAUGGUCACAGUAUAAGAAGAAAAUAAGUUGGAGAUUUAAGUAUAUAAAGAUAGUUUUGUCAAUAUUAUUUAUUUUUUCUAACAUAUGCAAACAAUUUUUUUGCUUGAGAUGUUUUUUAUCUUAUUUUAUUUUUCCAAUUACACGUGAAAAUAAUUUUUAUCUUCAUUUUUUAUAAUUUUUAGUUCCAGUUUCUCUCCCACCAUACCUUUCCUCCCCUCACCCUCAUUGAAAAGGCAAGCAUUUUAAUAAAGGUUAUAAAUGUGCAAUCAUCCAAAACUCAUUUUCUUAUUAGUCAUUAAACAUUUUUAACAUGUAUUUUUUUAAUUGAAUUAAUUUUUCUCCCUUUUCUUCCCUUUCAUUGAGAAGGCAAGCAAUUUGAUGUAAAUUAUACAUUUAUCAUCAUGCUAAACAUUUCUGUAUUGGCUAUGUUGCCAAAAAAAACAGACAAAAAAAGAAUAAUAAAGUAAAAAAGAAGUAUGCUUCAGUUUGCAUUCAUAUG
Molecule: long non-coding RNA, 3277 nt
Organism: Sarcophilus harrisii (Tasmanian devil)
Lineage: Eukaryota; Metazoa; Chordata; Mammalia; Dasyuromorphia; Dasyuridae
Exons: 6
Source: RefSeq, a predicted model, not a curated record